AAUAGAUACCCGGGUAGUCCACGCCGUAAACGAUGAGUGCUAAGUGUUAGGGGUUUCCGCCCCUUAGUGCUGCAGCUAACGCAUUAAGCACUCCGCCUGGGGAGUACGGUCGCAAGACUGAAACUCAAAGGAAUUGACGGGGGCCCGCACAAGCGGUGGAGCAUGUGGUUUAAUUCGAAGCAACGCGAAGAACCUUACCAGGUCUUGACAUCCCACUGACCGCUAUGGAGACAUAGUUUUCCCUUCGGGGUACAGUGGUGACAGGUGGUGCAUGGUUGUCGUCAGCUCGUGUCGUGAGAUGUUGGGUUAAGUCCCGCAACGAGCGCAACCCUUGAUCUUAGUUGCCAUCAUUUAGUUGGGCACUCUAAGGUGACUGCCGGUGACAAACCGGAGGAAGGUGGGGAUGACGUCAAAUCAUCAUGCCCCUUAUGACCUGGGCUACACACGUGCUACAAUGGACGGUACAAACGGUUGCCAACCCGCGAGGGGAGCUAAUCCGAUAAAACCGUUCUCAGUUCGGAUUGUAGGCUGCAACUCGCCUAC
Molecule: ribosomal RNA, 543 nt
Filed under: uncultured bacterium
Lineage: Bacteria
Description: bacterial SSU rRNA
Rfam family: Bacterial small subunit ribosomal RNA
Source: RNAcentral